RNAcentral lists this transfer RNA (73 nucleotides) under Phrynosoma platyrhinos (Desert horned lizard). RNAcentral's name for it is "tRNA-OTHER". The record is from RNAcentral. Lineage: Eukaryota; Metazoa; Chordata; Lepidosauria; Squamata; Phrynosomatidae.
AGCUGGCAUGGCAUAGUGGUUAGAGUGUUGGGCCACUACUCUGGAGACCAGGGUUCAAUUCCCAACUUGGCUA